RNAcentral lists this ribosomal RNA (1972 nucleotides) under Corynebacterium hylobatis. Its description in RNAcentral is "Corynebacterium sp. YIM 101343 partial 23S ribosomal RNA". It matches the Rfam family "Bacterial large subunit ribosomal RNA", at positions 1075 to 2925 of the family's 2925-position model. Lineage: Bacteria; Bacillati; Actinomycetota; Actinomycetes; Mycobacteriales; Corynebacteriaceae. The record is from RNAcentral.
GUGGGAUCGCGAAGACAGCCAGGAGGUUGGCUUAGAAGCAGCCAUCCUUGAAAGAGUGCGUAAUAGCUCACUGGUCGAGUGGUUCUGCGCCGACAAUGUAAUGGGGCUCAAGUACACCGCCGAAGCCGCGGCAACGACCCUUUGAUGGGCGUUGGGUAGGGGAGCGUCGUGCAUGGGGUGAAGCCAUACCGUGAGGGGUGGUGGACUGUGUGCGAGUGAGAAUGCAGGCAUGAGUAACGAUUUGGAAAGUGAGAAUCUUUCCCGCCGGAUGACUAAGGGUUCCUGGGUCAAGUUCGUCUUCCCAGGGUGAGUCGGGACCUAAGGCGAGGCCGACAGGCGUAGUCGAUGGAUAACGGGUUGAUAUUCCCGUACCCGUGUGUGUGCGACCAGUGGUGAAUCAGUGAUACUAACCACCCACAAUCCUUCCGGGUCAGGCUUUGCCUGGUCUGGUUGGGGCGUGCGUGGGGCCUGAACUGGUAGUAGCCAAGUGAUGGGGUGACGCAGUGGGGUAGCCGUGCCACUUAUUGGAUUGUGGUGUAAGCGUGUAGCACGAGGGGAGUGGUAAAUCCGCCCCUCACAUAAAGUGUGAGACGUGAUGCGUAGCCCUUUUGGGGUGAUGUCGGUGAUCCCGUGCUGUCGAGAAAAGCCUCUAGCGAUGUACAUGCAUGGCCCGUACCCUAAACCGACACAGGUGGUCAGGUAGAGAAUACUAAGGCGUUCGGGUGAACUGUGGUUAAGGAACUCGGCAAAAUGCCCCCGUAACUUCGGGAGAAGGGGGGCCCACACCGGUGACGGACUUUACGUCCUUGAGCUGGGGUGGGUCGCAGAGAAUAGAGGGAAGCGACUGUUUAUUAAAAACACAGGUCCGUGCGAAAACGUUGAAGUUGAUGUAUACGGACUGACGCCUGCCCGGUGCUGGAAGGUUAAGAGGACCGGUUAGCUGCCUUUGGGCGGCGAAGCUGAGAAUUUAAGCCCCAGUAAACGGCGGUGGUAACUAUAACCAUCCUAAGGUAGCGAAAUUCCUUGUCGGGUAAGUUCCGACCUGCACGAAUGGCGUAACGACUUCCCUGCUGUCUCAACCACAGGCCCGGUGAAAUUGCAGUACGAGUAAAGAUGCUCGUUACGCGCGGCAGGACGAAAAGACCCCGGGACCUUCACUAUAGCUUGGUAUUGGUGUUCGGUUCGGUUUGUGUAGGAUAGGUGGGAGACGUUGAUCACAUGACGCCAGUUGUGUGGGAGUCGUUGUUGAAAUACCACUCUGAUCGGAUUGGAUACCUCAACCUUGGCCCAUGAUCUGGGUCGGGGACAGUGCCUGGUGGGUAGUUUAACUGGGGCGGUUGCCUCCUAAAUGGUAACGGAGGCGCCCAAAGGUUCCCUCAGCCUGGUUGGCAAUCAGGUGGUGAGUGUAAGUGCACAAGGGAGCUUGACUGUGAGAGUGACAGCUCGAGCAGGGACGAAAGUCGGGACUAGUGAUCCGGCACCUACUUGUGGAUGUGGUGUCGCUCAACGGAUAAAAGGUACCCCGGGGAUAACAGGCUGAUCUUCCCCAAGAGUCCAUAUCGACGGGAUGGUUUGGCACCUCGAUGUCGGCUCGUCGCAUCCUGGGGCUGGAGUAGGUCCCAAGGGUUGGGCUGUUCGCCCAUUAAAGCGGUACGCGAGCUGGGUUUAGAACGUCGUGAGACAGUUCGGUCUCUAUCCGCCGCGCGCGUGGAAACUUAAGGAAGGCUGUCCCUAGUACGAGAGGACCGGGACGGACGUACCUCUGGUGUGCCAGUUGUUCCGCCAGGAGCAGGGCUGGUUGGCUACGUACGGAAGGGAUAACCGCUGAAAGCAUCUAAGCGGGAAGCCUGUUUCGAGAUGAGGUUUCUGUUGAGGUUCCCCAUAGAUGAUGGGGUUGAUAGGCCGGAUCUGGAAGCACAGUAAUGUGUGGAGGUGACCGGUACUAAUUGACCGACCAACAACACACCCCACA